AUACGGAGGGUGCAAGCGUUAUCCGGAUUCACUGGGUUUAAAGGGUGCGUAGGCGGAUAGGUAAGUCCGUGGUGAAAUCCUGCAGCUUAACUGCAGAACUGCCGUGGAUACUAUCUAUCUUGAAUAUCGUGGAGGUUAGCAGAAUAUGUCAUGUAGCGGUGAAAUGCUUAGAUAUGACAUAGAAUACCCAUUGCGAAGGCAGCUAACUACGCGAUAAUUGACGCUGAUGCACGAAAGCGUGGGGAUCAAACAGGAUUAGAUACCCUGGUAGUCCACGCUUUAAACGAUGAUUACUCGACAUUGGCGAUACACAGUCAGUGUCUGAGCGAAAGCAUUAAGUAAUCCACCUGGGAAGUACGAUCGCAAGAUUGAAACUCAAAUGAAUUGACGGGG
Molecule: ribosomal RNA, 393 nt
Filed under: uncultured bacterium
Lineage: Bacteria
Description: partial 16S ribosomal RNA
Rfam family: Bacterial small subunit ribosomal RNA
Source: RNAcentral